This 89-nucleotide transfer RNA is filed under the name Candidatus Amesiibacteriota bacterium. RNAcentral describes it as "Candidatus Amesbacteria bacterium tRNA-Ser". It matches the Rfam family "tRNA". Rfam says of the family: Transfer RNA (tRNA) molecules are approximately 80 nucleotides in length. The record is from RNAcentral. Lineage: Bacteria; Candidatus Amesiibacteriota.
GGAGAGGUGCGAGAGUGGUUGAAUCGGACAGUUUCGAAAACUGUUUUGGGGAGUUUUCCUCAACGUGGGUUCGAAUCCCACCCUCUCCG